This 659-nucleotide ribosomal RNA is filed under the name uncultured bacterium. RNAcentral describes it as "bacterial SSU rRNA". It matches the Rfam family "Bacterial small subunit ribosomal RNA", at positions 94 to 788 of the family's 1533-position model. The record is from RNAcentral.
AGUGGCGGACGGGUGAGUAACGCGUGAGAAUCUGCCUUGGGGUCGGGGACAACCACUGGAAACGGUGGCUAAUACCGGAUAAGCCGAUUGGUGAAAGAUUUAUUGCCCGAAGAGGAGCUCGCGUCUGAUUAGCUAGUUGGUGAGGUAAGAGCUCACCAAGGCAGCGAUCAGUAGCUGGUCUGAGAGGACGAUCAGCCACACUGGGACUGAGACACGGCCCAGACUCCUACGGGAGGCAGCAGUGGGGAAUUUUCCGCAAUGGGCGAAAGCCUGACGGAGCAAGACCGCGUGAGGGAGGAAGGCUCUUGGGUUGUAAACCUCUUUUCUCAGGGAAGAAGCUCUGACGGUACCUGAGGAAUCAGCCUCGGCUAACUCCGUGCCAGCAGCCCGGUAAUACGGAGGAGGCAAGCGUUAUCCGGAAUUAUUGGGCGUAAAGCGUCCGCAGGUGGCGAUUCAAGUCUGCUGUCAAAGCACGGGGCUUAACUCCGUAAAGGCAGUGGAAACUGAAUAGCUAGAGUGCCGUAGGGGUAGAGGGAAUUCCCGGUGUAGCGGUGAAAUGCGUAGAGAUCGGGAAGAACAUCGGUGGCGAAAGCGCUCUACUGGACGGCAACUGACACUCAGGGACGAAAGCUAGGGGAGCGAAUGGGAUUAGAUACCCC